RNAcentral lists this ribosomal RNA (571 nucleotides) under uncultured bacterium. RNAcentral describes it as "partial 16S ribosomal RNA". It matches the Rfam family "Bacterial small subunit ribosomal RNA", at positions 355 to 918 of the family's 1533-position model. The record is from RNAcentral.
UGGGGAAUUUUGGACAAUGGGCGCAAGCCUGAUCCAGCCAUGCCGCGUGCGGGAAGAAGGCCUUCGGGUUGUAAACCGCUUUUGUCAGGGAAGAAAUCUUCUGAGUUAAUACCUCGGGAGGAUGACGGUACCUGAAGAAUAAGCACCGGCUAACUACGUGCCAGCAGCCGCGGUAAUACGUAGGGUGCAAGCGUUAAUCGGAAUUACUGGGCGUAAAGCGUGCGCAGGCGGUUUUGUAAGACAGAGGUGAAAUCCCCGGGCUCAACCUGGGAACUGCCUUUGUGACUGCAAGGCUUGAGUGCGGCAGAGGGGGAUGGAAUUCCGCGUGUAGCAGUGAAAUGCGUAGAUAUGCGGAGGAACACCGAUGGCGAAGGCAAUCCCCUGGGCCUGCACUGACGCUCAUGCACGAAAGCGUGGGGAGCAAACAGGAUUAGAUACCCUGGUAGUCCACGCCCUAAAACGAUGUCAACUGGUUGUUGGGAAGGUUCCUUCUCAGUAACGUAGCUAACGCGUGAAGUUGACCGCCUGGGGAGUACGGCCGCAAGGUUGAAACUUAAAUGAAUUGACGGGG